RNAcentral lists this ribosomal RNA (578 nucleotides) under Metazoa environmental sample. Its description in RNAcentral is "bacterial SSU rRNA". It matches the Rfam family "Eukaryotic small subunit ribosomal RNA", at positions 653 to 1204 of the family's 1831-position model. The record is from RNAcentral. Lineage: Eukaryota; Metazoa.
CGGUCCGAGAGAGAUCGGCGUAAUCCGACGGGUUUCGGCUCGUCGAUUACCUCGCGUCGCACGGUGCUCUUCAACGGGUGCCGUCGACGGCCGAGACGUUUACUUUGAAAAAAUUAGAGUGCUCAAAGCAGGCGAUUGCCGCUCGAAUAGUCUUGCAUGGAAUAAUGGAACAGGACCUCGGUGCUGUCUCGUUGGUGCGCGUGCGAACGUGCAAAUCCUCUCAGCCACAGAGGUAAUGAUCAACCGGAGCGGACGGGGGCAUUCGUAUUUCGGCGCUAGAGGUGAAAUUCUUGGACCGCCGAAAGACGAGCGACUGCGAAGGCAUUUGCCAAGAACGCUUUCGUGAAUCAAGAACGAUAGUUAGAGGUUCGAAGGCGAUCAGAUACCGCCCUAGUUCUAACCGUAAACGAUGCCGACCGGCGAUCGGCGGGCGUUGCACAGUACACGACCCCGCCGGCAGCCUCGACGCGAAAGCUCGAGCCGGGUUCCGGGGGGAGUAUGGUUGCAAAGCUGAAACUUAAAGGAAUUGACGGAAGGGCACCACCAGGAGUGGAGCCUGCGGCUUAAUUCGACUCAAC